AGUCUGAAUAGGGCAUACAGUCGCAAGGAUUAGACACGAAACCGGGUGAGCUACCCAUGGCCAGGGUGAAGCGGGUCUAAUAGCCCGUGGAGGCCCGAACCCACUAAUGUUGCAAAAUUAGGGGAUGAGCUGUGGGUAGGGGUGAUAUGCCAAACGAACCUGGAGAUAGCUUGUUCUCCCCGAAAUAGCUUUAGGGCUAGCGUCAUGCGUUUAGUACCGGAGGUAGAGCACUGGAUGGGCUAGGGGGCUUACUGCUUACCGAACCCAACCAAACUCCGAAUGCCGGUACUCCAGAGCAUGGCAGUCGGACUACGGGAGAUGAGUUUCGUAGUCGAGAGGGAAACAGCCCAGACCAUCAGCUAAGGUCCUCAAGUUUAGGCUAAGUGGGAAACGAUGUGGGACUACAAGGACAACCAGGAGGUUGGCUUAGAAGCAGCCACCCUUUAAAGAGUGCGUAAUAGCUCACUGGUCAAGUGGUCCUGCGCGGAAAAUUCAACGGGGCUAAGCCUAACACCGAAGCUAUGGAUGUGCACAGAUCUUUGGAUCGGUGCGUAUGGUAGGGGAGCGUUCUGCCAGCGGUGAAGGUCGACCGUAAGGACGGCUGGAGCGGGCAGAAGUGAGAAUGCAGGCAUGAGUAGCGUAAAACACGUGAGAACCGUGUUCGCCGUAAGUCUAAGGUUUCCGACGGCAGGUCAAUCCGCGUCGGGUUAGUCGGUCCUUAGCCGAGGCCGAGAGGCGUAGGCGAUGGAUAUCCGGUCAACAUUCCGGAACCACCCUGGAGGAGCGAAGGGGGGACGCAACGAGGUAGGCCAGCCCGCGAUUGGUAGAGCGGGUGUAAGUGUGUAGGCGAUGAGGGCUGUAGGCAAAUCCGCAGCCUGAGCUGAGGCACGAAUGCGAGCCCUUGAGGCAGAAGUGGUUGAGCCUUGUUGCCAAGAAAAGCCCCUAAGUGAUGAAUCCUGGGUGACCGUACCGCAAACCGACACUGGUAGACGGGUAGAGAAUACCAAGGCGAACGGGAGAACCUUCGUUAAGGAACUAGGCAAAUUAGCCCCGUAACUUCGGGAUAAGGGGUGCCUUCUGAGGUGAAAGUCUAGACGGCUGUAGCUUCGGGAGGUCGCAGUGAAAUGGCUCUAGUGACUGGUUAACAAAACCACAGGUCUCUGCAAAGCCGUAAGGCGAUGUAUAGGGGCUGACACCUGCCCAGUGCCGGAAGGUUAAAGGGAGGGGUUAGGCCGCAAGGUCGACGCUCUGAACUGAAGCCCCGGUGAACGGCGGCCGUAACUAUAACGGUCCUAAGGUAGCGAAAUUCCUUGUCGGGUAAGUUCC
This 1326-nucleotide ribosomal RNA is filed under the name hot springs metagenome. RNAcentral describes it as "bacterial LSU rRNA". It matches the Rfam family "Bacterial large subunit ribosomal RNA", at positions 680 to 1984 of the family's 2925-position model. The record is from RNAcentral.